Molecule: long non-coding RNA, 1688 nt
Organism: Falco peregrinus (peregrine falcon)
Lineage: Eukaryota; Metazoa; Chordata; Aves; Falconiformes; Falconidae
Exons: 3
Source: RefSeq, a predicted model, not a curated record
CAGCCACAGUGCCAUCCUCCAGCAAAGCAUCUUCAUCCUCCCCCGGGCAGGGCGGGCAGGGUGCAGAUGAAUUAGGCGGCCGGCUCCGCUGUCCACGCCGGCUUGGGAAAGGAGGCUUUCUCUCCAGAUAAGCAGUGGUCGGCAUUUAAACAACAACAACAACAACAACAAAAGAAUCGAGAUGAGAUAAAACAAUGCACAGAUCGACACCCGGCAGCCAAAAAAGCUCGAGAGAACGGGUGAUGAGGAGGACGAUGAGAAGAAUUAGCUGCAAUUUAGGAGAGGGGAAAAUAAAUCAGUGCCUGUGUAUUCCUCCCUCUGCUGCGUCUGCUUUGCAGUGUUAGCCCCAUGAGCUGACGGGUGGGGGUUAAGGAGCGAGGGGGAGGGGGAAAAAGAAAAGUUUAAGCGUCCAUAGUUUGUUUAAAACAGAGGAAAGCAAUAUAAAAGGUCCAUCGGUCUCCAGAAGUUCAGCCAAGCAGCUGGGAACCGGUUCCAAAAUGAAAGUAAGAGCAAACAAACAAACAGAAAAAAGAAAAUAAUCAAGGCAAACAAAAAGUAAGAUUGCAGCAGGCACCGGCAGCGCUGAGAUCUUGCAGUCGGGCUCCCCUGCUCUCACGUGGCUCUCCGGGGAAGCGGCGGAGGUGUGUUUCCCAAGCGGGGUUCCGCGGAGCCCUGCUGCGCCCCGCCAGCGCCCAGGCGCGCCGAGCCGGGCGGCGGGGCCGGGUCUGCGCUGAGCCCGGGCGGGGAUCGGCGCGCAAAGCCUCCUCCGCGGCCAGCCCGGGGGUGGGGAGGGGGUGGAGAUACGUGCUGCAGGGAUAAAGUAAGAUCAAGCGGAAAAAAAUAAAUAUAUAUAUAGGUAGUUGAAGAUCUCGCUCCCUCCCUGCCUGCCUCCUCCCCUCCCCCGAGACGUGCUGCUCCGAUCCUGCAGGAACGCCUAGAACUGUUUCAGACCAAGAGCCUUCGGAACACUGACCUUGCUGACGGCUUCAGCAAGAGGAUCGAACAUACAACAUGCGAUCCUGAGCACACCAGUCUCCCCAGUGAGAAGAUGAUCAGAGUCUCUCUCCGGCGGGCGAUUAACUCUCCCAGCAAGGUAGGCACUGACGUCACCCUCAGCCUCCAAGCGGCACCUGCCCCUGACCUCAGCACCGCCAGGGCUGGCAGAGCAGCACCACCGGCAGUGGCAGUGCGAGGAUGGCGGCCCGGCAGAGCCCUGGCUGAGGCAGGAAACACUCGGGAAUGCCAGGUGGGACCUGUGCAGAAACCUGGGCAUGUUCGUGAUGUAACAAAUAAAUGUGUGUAUAGGUCAGGGUGAAAGCUGCUUUCUGCUUGUAAUCCAGCACAGCUACACAUUAGUAUUACUGUUUAAAAUAAGCGUUACAGCUCUGCAGGAACUAUUCUGCAUUGCUUAGGUAUGAAUAUUCCCCCCAGUCACAUUAGUAAAAACCUUUGCUCACAUUAAGAGAAGUUUUUUCCUAGUAACCAAACUGGCUGAUAUUUUUUUUAAAGAAUAAACUUUUCCCCCCAAGUAACCCAUUAAAUAUUCAAUCUAGCUUCUUUCACGAUGCAAAAUUUUGAAACAUUUUAGGUACAAAAUAUAUUUUUCUUAUCGCACAUUCAUGUCUACCAUUCCAAAAAGCUCACAACUCUGAUAAUCCAUCUGACAACACAGUCAAUCAAAAAUCCAU